UACGUAGGGUGCGAGCGUUGUCCGGGAUUAUUGGGCGUAAAGAGCUCGUAGGCGGUGUGUCACGUCGGCCGUGAAAACCUGCAGCUUAACUGUGGGCGUGCGGUCGAUACGGGCAUCACUGGAGUUCGGCAGGGGAGACUGGAAUUCCUGGUGUAGCGGUGAAAUGCGCAGAUAUCAGGAGGAACACCGGUGGCGAAGGCGGGUCUCUGGGCCGAUACUGACGCUGAGGAGCGAAAGCGUGGGGAGCAAACAGG
Molecule: ribosomal RNA, 254 nt
Filed under: uncultured bacterium
Lineage: Bacteria
Description: partial 16S ribosomal RNA
Rfam family: Bacterial small subunit ribosomal RNA
Source: RNAcentral